This 71-nucleotide transfer RNA is filed under the name Camelus bactrianus (Bactrian camel). It matches the Rfam family "tRNA". Rfam says of the family: Transfer RNA (tRNA) molecules are approximately 80 nucleotides in length. Their secondary structure includes four short double-helical elements and three loops (D, anti-codon, and T loops). RNAcentral also lists the same sequence under 2 other names. The record is from Rfam by way of RNAcentral. Lineage: Eukaryota; Metazoa; Chordata; Mammalia; Artiodactyla; Camelidae.
GAGGGUAUAGCUCAGUGGUAGAGAGCAUGCUUAGCAUGCACGAGGCCCUGGGUUCAAUCCCAGUACCUCCA